AUCUUGCUUCCCCUUCGCCUCCUGACAUGAUUGUGAAUUUCCUGAGGCCUCCCCAGCCGUGAUGAACUGUGAGAGAGCCAUGUAAUCAUGCCAACAUCCUGACCAAGCCCGAUCCAAGAACCUUCUGGACUAGUGAUGAUCCAGCUUUCAUGAAGCAGAGGAGGAUGGGUCUGAACGACUUUAUUCAGAAGAUUGCCAAUAACUCCUAUGCAUGCAAACACCCUGAAGUUCAGUCCAUCUUGAAAAUCUCCCAACCUCAGGAGCCUGAGCUUAUGAAUGCCAACCCUUCUCCUCCACCAAGUCCUUCUCAGCAAAUCAACCUUGGCCCGUCGUCCAAUCCUCAUGCUAAACCAUCUGACUUUCACUUCUUGAAAGUGAUCGGAAAGGGCAGUUUUGGAAAGGUUCUUCUAGCAAGACACAAGGCAGAAGAAGUGUUCUAUGCAGUCAAAGUUUUACAGAAGAAAGCAAUCCUGAAAAAGAAAGAGGAGAAGCAUAUUAUGUCGGAGCGGAAUGUUCUGUUGAAGAAUGUGAAGCACCCUUUCCUGGUGGGCCUUCACUUCUCUUUCCAGACUGCUG
This 576-nucleotide small RNA is filed under the name Pan troglodytes (chimpanzee). Its description in RNAcentral is "processed transcript". The record is from RNAcentral. Lineage: Eukaryota; Metazoa; Chordata; Mammalia; Primates; Hominidae.